Molecule: ribosomal RNA, 333 nt
Filed under: uncultured bacterium
Lineage: Bacteria
Description: bacterial SSU rRNA
Rfam family: Bacterial small subunit ribosomal RNA
Source: RNAcentral
UCAUGGCGAGAUGUUGAAAGACGGUUUCGGCUGUCACUAUAAGAUGGGCCCGCGGCGCAUUAGCUAGUUGGUAGGGUAAUGGCCUACCAAGGCGACGAUGCGUAGCCGACCUGAGAGGGUGAUCGGCCACACUGGGACUGAGACACGGCCCAGACUCCUACGGGAGGCAGCAGUAGGGAAUCUUCCACAAUGGACGAAAGUCUGAUGGAGCAACGCCGCGUGAGUGAAGAAGGUUUUCGGAUCGUAAAACUCUGUUGUAAGGGAAGAACACGUACGAGAGUAACUGCUCGUACCUUGACGGUACCUUAUUAGAAAGCCACGGCUAACUACGUG